AACCCUCGGAUUGUCCGAGGGUCCCAAUAAGCUUUAGCGGAGUGAUAAUGGAAAUAAAAACCCUCCAUUGUAUAAUUAAAAUGCGGUCUGCCAACUGCAAAUAAGAAUACAAGGG
Molecule: small RNA, 115 nt
Filed under: Clostridium botulinum C/D str. BKT12695
Lineage: Bacteria; Bacillati; Bacillota; Clostridia; Eubacteriales; Clostridiaceae
Description: Hfq binding sRNA
Source: RNAcentral